UACGUAGGGUGCGAGCGUUAAUCGGAAUUACUGGGCGUAAAGCGUGCGCAGGCGGUUUUGUAAGUCAGAUGUGAAAUCCCCGGGCUUAACCUGGGAACUGCGUUUGAAACUACAAGGCUAGAGUGUAGCAGAGGGGGGUGGAAUUCCACGUGUAGCAGUGAAAUGCGUAGAGAUGUGGAGGAACACCGGUGGCGAAGGCGCCGCUCUGGACUGAAACUGACGCUGAGGAGCGAAAGCAUGGGUAGCAAACAGG
RNAcentral lists this ribosomal RNA (253 nucleotides) under uncultured bacterium. RNAcentral's name for it is "partial 16S ribosomal RNA". It matches the Rfam family "Bacterial small subunit ribosomal RNA", at positions 524 to 776 of the family's 1533-position model. The record is from RNAcentral.